Diceros bicornis minor is the source of this 4969-nucleotide long non-coding RNA. RefSeq lists it as uncharacterized. Lineage: Eukaryota; Metazoa; Chordata; Mammalia; Perissodactyla; Rhinocerotidae. The record is from RefSeq and is a predicted model, not a curated record. The transcript has 2 exons.
UCUUACUAUUUUCCUAUCUUUGUUUGUAAGAAAGAAAAAUUUUUCUCGUUGGCCUUCUGUUCUCUCCAAGGUCAUUGGAGAGCAUGGUCAUGGACUCCAGCUUUUUAUGUCACUAUCUACUCUCCCGUCGUCUUUUUAUAGGCGUAUUUUUAUGAACAUGCCUUCAAAAAGGAUUUUGUUUUUGAGAAUGAGACAGGAGCCAAGACCCCUGAGCUCCUAAGUCCGUGGGCUUGGGCGUGUCACUUAACACUUUGGAUGGUGGCUUUUCCAUCUGCAGAAAGAGGUAGCUUGACUUUGAGGGUCACGUAGCAAACGCUUCAGCAUGACCUACCUGUCUGAGUGACAGCAAGGACCCAAUUUGUUGUUAUUUCUUCUGGGAGUGACUAAGCAGUUGUGUAUGUGUGUUAUCACUUUGUGAUUUAGAACUCUGAACCCUGUUUCUUUGAAUGUGUAUCACGUUCAAAGCCUGCUGUGGACUUCACAGGUGAGCCACUGUGCUUGUGGCGAGAAGGCUGCUCGUCUGCGGGUUUUUCAUUCAGGAAGCCAUCACGAUCCUGGUGGGGAAAGAGUACACAUACAUUUUUAUCAGGAUACUUUCUCAUAGGCGGUACUGCUCCCUUCUAACAAGAAAGCCGGAUGGUGAGAGUUACCGUUUCUCUGGAGGAGAGAGCGCAGGGGAAAUUGUGUUUUCUGGCCUCAGUCUCUGUGAUUUGGCACUGCUUUCCUGAGAUGGCAGGUCAGUGUUUGUUCUCACGGCAAACAGGCACGUGACCUUAGACAGUGUCAGCGUGAUCUUUAGAUACAGAGUCCCCCCCUUAUCGGAGGGGAUAUGUUGCUGUGGAUGCCUGAAACCGUGGAUAGUACUGAACCCUAUAUAUACUAUGUUUUCUCCUAUGCAUACACAGCUAUGAUCAAGUUUAGUUUAUAAAUGAGGCAAACUAAGAGGUUAACAACAGCUUCUCUCUGGCAUGUCUGAAUCGCCAGCAUCAUGACUCUUGUGCUUUGGGGCCGUUGUUAGGUAAAAUGUGGGUUAUUUGAGCACAAGCCCUGUGCUACCCUGACGGUCCAUCUGAUAACCAACACGGGCUACUAAGUGACUAACGGGCUGAUGGCGUGUACAGUGGGGAUCCACUGCACAGAGGGACGAGCCCUGUCCCGGUGGGAUGGAGUGGAAUGGCGUGUGAUUUCAUCACGCUAUUCAGAAUGAUGCGCAAUUUAAAACUUAUGAAUUGUUUAUCCCUGGAAUUUUCCAUUUAAUAUUUUCAGACUGCGGUUGACCGUGGGUAACUGAAACCGCAGAAAGCGAAACAGCGGAUAAAGGAGGAUGACUGUGCUAGUUUUCUGCUUCCAGACUUUGGAACACUGAGGAUUUUCAUUAAACAACGCUUAACUCUUGGGGAGCCCUCAUGCCAGUGAGUCCCCUGUAGUUUUUCAGGCUGCUUUCCAUGUUGGGUGUGGGUAAGACUUACUCAGGAUGGAUAGUUGAGCUGUGUUCUUGUCUCUUCAUCUCACUGUUUCUAGAAAUAUGCAGAUUACAGGAGAACUUCUUUUAAGUACUUUGAAAAAGAUAUUUUAAAGGUUAUUGGAUACCUAUGUAUUUUUUACAUUUGAGAAUAAUGCUCGUGUUUUGUGGAUAGAGAAAAGCUUAUUAUCUUAAAAGUAAUUUUAGAACUAAAAUCUUUUCUUUAAAAGCUUUUAUAUUUCUAAAAAGUUACAUGGCCUUCUUGUUAAGCGCAGUUAAAUCUUUCUCAGAAACUUUAAAAACUUUUCUGGGUUUUGAUUCAGACCCAAUUUGAAAAUGAAUGAUAAAGCCAGAGCAGCAGCUAACGUAUGCAGUGGUGCUCACAACCCGUUUAGAUUGGCUGAGUGUUUCAAAUACAGUUGUGCAUUUUUUGCCCUGGGUCUCUUUCUUUAAAAAAAAAAAAAGGUUUGAGAUGUUUUUCCCAUUACCAUCUUGACAUCUGCCUGGUUACACAUGAAUAGCCUGACCCAGUCUCUCCGCAGGGAGACUGCCGUGGCCUUGCUUUCAAUAGCCAUGUCACUGACAAAGGAAACAUAUGGAAUAUUUCAUUGCUGUCCUCUGCGAACAGUCUGGGGCUGUGAGGGCAUGCAGCGGAAGGCUUCAUACUUCACGGUUGUCUUCUGUGUUAAAAGAAUUUGCCCUUGGCACCACCCUGGCUGAGGUGGCAUUCCAGAAAGAGAAAAAAAAUCCCUGUGACAUCCAAAGAUGAGAAGAUUCAUGACUUCGGCCAAGGACAUAAUGACAUACAUUUCAUCAGGGUCCCUUCCAGCUCUCAAGUUACCCCAGCCUGAAUUUCUGGUUUCAUUGUCUCCUAGACGUGCAGGCUGGUUUUGACAGGAGUUGGUGUUUUAUUAAAAAGGAAGUGAGCUCCUGUUUAAUCCCAGAUACAGCCAAAUUUUACAUUUAUAUAUAGAUCUCAUCUAGAAGGUAUUCCUGAUGGUUCUUGGUCACAUUACUGAACAUUAGUUGUAAAACAAUGUGCUAAUAGAAAUUAUUGCCUUUCAUGUUUUCUCAUAAGAAUAAUGCCUUUUGCAGUUUUUCUUUUUUUUGUGAGGUAGAUCCGCCCUGAGCUAACAUCUGCCAAUCUUCCUCUUUUUUGCUGAGGAAGACUGGCCCUACAUUCAUGCCCAUCUUCCUCUACUUUGUAUGGGAUGCCGCCACAGCGUGGCUUAACAAGUGGUGCGCGCCCGGGAUCUGAACCGGCGAACCCCGGGCUACCGCAGCAGAGCGCGCGCACUUAACUGCUUGCACCAGCGGGCUGGCCCCUGCAGUUCUUGAUUAUAACAGAUUUCCUUCAAAUUUAUUGGCUCUUGGAAGGUUACAUUUUAAAAAGUUUUGGUUUUAUGAGUCUAUUUGAGGUUCCCUCCCCUCUUCUUUUUAGUGCCUCCGUAUUUUUAUCCUAAAAUAACUACGGAUCUUCCUCGACUUACGAUGGGGUUACUUCCCGAUAGACCCGUCAUAAGUUGCAAAUAUCAUAAGUUGAAAAUGCAUUUAAUGCACCUAACCUACCCAACAUCAGAGCUUAGCCUGGCCUACCUUAAAUGUGCUCGGAACACUUAACAUUAGCCCACAGCUGGGUAAAAUCAUCUAAUACAAAGCCUAUUUUAUAAUAAAGUGUUGAAUAUCUCAUGUGAUGAUUGAAUACUGUAGUGAAAGUGGAAACAGAAUGGUUGGAUGGGUACAGAAGGGUUGUAAAUGUAUUGAUUGUUGACUCUCAUGACUCUGUGGCUGCCUGGGAGCUGUGCUUGCUGCCCUGUCCAGCAUCGUGAGAGCAUCGUACUGCGUAUCGCUAGCCUGGAGAAGAUCAAAAUUCCAAGUACGGUUUCUACUGAAUGCGUUUCGCUUUUGCACCAUCGUCAAGUCGAAAAAUCAUAAGUUGAACCGUCGUAAGUCAGGGACCAUCUGUAGUUUAAUCUUGGAUGUUCUGUCUUCUUUCUUUACUCACCACUUAACUGACCUUCAUAACUGUGAGUUCAUAGGGAAAACUCCGCCAAAUCUAUCAGUCUUUAAAUUCACACUUUUUAGUGUACAAGUCUGCGAGUUUUGAAAUGUAUAUGGUAAUGUAACCGCCACCACUGUCAACGUCUAGUACAUUCCCAUCACUGCCCCUGUGCCCUGGGUAGUCAGCUGCUCUCCCCACCCCUCAUCUCUGGCAACUGAUGAUCUAUUUUCGACCUUGGGUCUCUCAUUUUAUAUUGUUUUGUGUUUAUCAGAAUGUCAUAUAAAUUGAAUGGCACAACGUAGUCUUAUGCCUGGCUUCUUUUAUGUAACAAAGCAUUUGAGAUUCUACCAUGUUGUUGCAUAUGCAAUAUGUGAUAUUCCUUUUUAUUGCUGAGGAGUAUUCCAUUAUGUGGAUGUGCCACACUAUGUUUUUCCAUUCCCCAGUUGAGGGACACUUGCCUUGUUUCCAGUUUUUGGAAAUUACGAAUAAAGCCAAUAUAAAUAUUCACAUAGAGGUUAUCGUAUGAACAUAGGUUUUCAUUGAACUUGUGUAAAUACCUAGGAGUGAGAUCAUGGGUCAUGUGGUAAGUGUAUGUUAAUAAGAAACACUGGUCUAGAUGUUAAUGUCUUAGAGCUGUAGUGAGGUUUAAUAUCACGAAUUACUUAUAGCCUCAAUAUAUUGUUAGCAUGCCACAUACGUAGUCUUAGCAAAAGCUGUUAAAAACUGAUUUUGUUUAAAUGUCUGUACUUUUAAAAGAGUAGACUUCUUAGCCCCCUUUCUGGUACCGGCAGUUAUUGUGAGACCCCCAAGGACUUGGGAAGAAAUGAUCGCAAUGUGGUGCAUUUUGUUUACAGUGAAAAAACUGAAUUAUUAGUGUAUCCACGUUUGGAAAGUCUGAUUAAAAAAAUGGAAAUUUGGUGAGGAAUUGCUGGGCCCACUUUGUGUCCUAGGCAUGUCACGUGUGUUAACUGUGAUUUCUGCAGUGCGCACUCUUGAGUCCAUGGCGCAGUUCCUUGUUCAUCGCUGAGCAGACUGAGAUCGGAACGGAUUCAGUAACCUGCUCCAGCAUCCCGGUUAGGGCUGGGUGUCUGUGAGGCUCAGGUGUUCCGUGUUUGUUUGUCCAUCCUGUAGUUUGCUUGGAUAGCUGACAGUUGAGCAGAAGAGCAAAGGUAAAAUGAGAAAUGAAAUGGUGAGAAGCUAUGGGUUAUUACAGGGGGAAGAAACUCAGAAGUGAAAAUAAAGCAUCUGGAAAAAGCAUACACACGUCUACAUAGGUACGUACAUACAGUGGGAGGCUGACUUGAUUUAGGAGUAACUUGUAUCAGAAAUCUACUUAGUGUGUAAAAUGAAGUUAUCUUUUUUUUAAGUGGUAAGAAUUUUUAUUAGUUUAUUUCAUCUUAUAUUUAACAAGUUUUGGUUAUAAUUACUAUGUGCUAAUGCUUAGAAAUGAACAAAUCAAGUGGGGAUUUGGGCAUAAUUUUUCAAAUAAAAUUGUAUUAAACAGA